RNAcentral lists this long non-coding RNA (229 nucleotides) under Lathyrus oleraceus (garden pea). Its description in RNAcentral is "Pisum sativum (pea) long non-coding RNA (PSAT_LNC020949)". The record is from RNAcentral. Lineage: Eukaryota; Viridiplantae; Streptophyta; Magnoliopsida; Fabales; Fabaceae.
GAAGCAGGAUUAUGGGCAAUCAUUUGCAGUGUGAAGCAAUACACAAAGCCUUGACCAUUUUCUACCUAACUGUUAACAACAAUUGACAUCACAAGCAACUAUGCAUAGGGAGUUCAAUAAACUUUGAUCUAUGACAGGUUAUGUAUGAGUUCACUUGUUACCUUGCUAUAAGCCAGCUGAACAACAAGCCAAUCGUCAAUCCAAAGGGAAAAGCCAAAGCCACUUAAAA